RNAcentral lists this ribosomal RNA (800 nucleotides) under uncultured bacterium. Its description in RNAcentral is "bacterial SSU rRNA". It matches the Rfam family "Bacterial small subunit ribosomal RNA", at positions 10 to 820 of the family's 1533-position model. The record is from RNAcentral.
AGUUUGAUCAUGGCUCAGAGUGAACGCUGGCGGCGUGCUUAACACAUGCAAGUCGAACGAGAACGGAUUAUAGCUUGCUAUAAUUGUCAGCUAAGUGGCGCACGGGUGAGUAAUGUAUAGAUAACCUGCCCUCUAGAAAGGAAUAACAGUUGGAAACGACUGCUAAUGCCCUAUAUGCCUUUAAUACAUAAGUAUGCAAGGGAAACGCUUUAGUGCUAGAGGAUGGGUCUGUAUGGUAUCAGCUUGUUGGUGAGGUAAUGGCUCACCAAGGCUAUGACGCCUAACUGGUUUGAGAGGAUGAUCAGUCACACUGGAACUGAGACACGGUCCAGACUCCUACGGGAGGCAGCAGUGGGGAAUAUUGCACAAUGGACGAAAGUCUGAUGCAGCAACGCCGCGUGGAGGAUGACACAUUUCGGUGCGUAAACUCCUUUUAUAUAGGAAGAUAAUGACGGUACUAUAUGAAUAAGCACCGGCUAACUCCGUGCCAGCAGCCGCGGUAAUACGGAGGGUGCAAGCGUUACUCGGAAUCACUGGGCGUAAAGAGCGUGUAGGCGGGUAUAUAAGUCAGAAGUGAAAUCCAAUAGCUUAACUAUUGAACUGCUUUUGAAACUGUAUACCUAGAAUGUGGGAGAGGUAGAUGGAAUUUCUGGUGUAGGGGUAAAAUCCGUAGAGAUCAGAAGGAAUACCGAUUGCGAAGGCGAUCUACUGGAACAUUAUUGACGCUGAGACGCGAAAGCGUGGGGAGCAAACAGGAUUAGAUACCCUGGUAGUCCACGCCCUAAACGAUGCACACUAGU